RNAcentral lists this ribosomal RNA (465 nucleotides) under uncultured bacterium. RNAcentral's name for it is "partial 16S ribosomal RNA". It matches the Rfam family "Bacterial small subunit ribosomal RNA", at positions 338 to 795 of the family's 1533-position model. The record is from RNAcentral.
CCUACGGGCGGCAGCAGUAGGGAAUCUUCCACAAUGGGCGAAAGCCUGAUGGAGCAACGCCGCGUGGGUGAAGAAGGUCUUCGGAUCGUAAAACCCUGUUGUUAGAGAAGAAAGUUCGUGAGAGUAACUGUUCACGUUUCGACGGUAUCUAACCAGAAAGCCACGGCUAACUACGUGCCAGCAGCCGCGGUAAUACGUAGGUGGCAAGCGUUAUCCGGAUUUAUUGGGCGUAAAGGGAACGCAGGCGGUCUUUUAAGUCUGAUGUGAAAGCCUUCGGCUUAACCGGAGUAGUGCAUUGGAAACUGGGAGACUGGAGUGCAGAAGAGGAGAGUGGAACUCCAUGUGUAGCGGUGAAAUGCGUAGAUAUAUGGAAGAACACCAGUGGCGAAAGCGGCUCUCUGGUCUGUAACUGACGCUGAGGUUCGAAAGCGUGGGUAGCAAACAGGAUUAGAUACCCGAGUAGUC